UGAAAAGAAGCACAUGCUGCUGCGGCGCAGACAGAGCGUGCCCGUCUGCUCCAGUGAUGCUGUGGCCUAAUUUCUACCUCUCUUGUGCUGGAUACAAAAGGGAACAUCUCCAGAGCUGAGGUUAGAUGGGUUCAAGUCUACAGAUCAUAAAAUCCGGAAUGUAACUACAAAAAUUUGAAAAUCUAACAGACAGACCUUGACAGUCACACAGUCAAAUCACAUACAGCAGCCAAGGAAAAUUAACAGGAAUAUCCUCUGCAAUCCAGUAGAAAGGGUAAUCUAUCAAGACCUGAGAAACAGAAUCUUCAGAAUAAAGCAACCACCACUGCUGUCAGACAGCAACAAAGAACACUUUUAAUGGGCAAUCUCAAAGAUCAGACUUAGUGCUGGUGCCUGACUCACAUCUACUGAUAACAGAGCACUGUUCCUGCUGCUGAAACCAAGUCUGAGUCAGCAUUCCCAUCACAACUUUCUGUUUCUAAAGGUUUAUAACUUCACCAGAAGUUGACUCUGGGUUAGAGGUUAGCAAGGAUAUGGAACACUUAAUUUUCACACUUUUAUCUCACAUGUAGGCAGAUUUUUUUCUUCUGGGUUUUGUCAGUUAAGUGUUCCAUCAGAAGGACAAUGGCUUCAGAUGGUUUCUGUAAAUGAGAAAUGUCAUGUAAGAAAGAACAAUGUCCUUGCACUUAAGGGCCAAGCCAGAACUGCAGUCCCUUUAUGCUCCACUUUGCUGUUUCCAGCACCCUUUGGACAUCAGCCACCCCAGAAAAAGAACUGGACACUUGGGUGAGAACAAUAGCAGAGCUGUUCCUUAAACAUCUCCUGUGCCAGCCAGUCCCACUCAUCUGGCAGCUCCACACUGCCCUCCAGGGAGGGCCACCAUCAAACUUACCGUGUUUCCCUCAGUUUCCCACUGGCAGGAGAGAAUUCCUUGGGAGGAAACACAUAAAAUACAGCUGACAUAAACAUGAAAAUGUGUAUAUCUUAUGACAUAAAA
Molecule: long non-coding RNA, 997 nt
Organism: Passer domesticus (house sparrow)
Lineage: Eukaryota; Metazoa; Chordata; Aves; Passeriformes; Passeridae
Exons: 3
Source: RefSeq, a predicted model, not a curated record